UGGGGAAUAUUGCACAAUGGGCGCAAGCCUGAUGCAGCAACGCCGCGUGAACGAUGAAGGUCUUCGGAUCGUAAAGUUCUGUUGCAGGGGAAGAUAAUGACGGUACCCUGUGAGGAAGCCCCGGCUAACUACGUGCCAGCAGCCGCGGUAAUACGUAGGGGGCUAGCGUUAUCCGGAUUUACUGGGCGUAAAGGGUGCGUAGGUGGUCUUUCAAGUCGGUGGUUAAAGGCUACGGCUCAACCGUAGUUAGCCUCCGAAACUGGAAGACUUGAGUGCAGGAGAGGAAUGUGACAUUCCCAGUUUAGCGGUGAAAUGCGUCGAUCUUGGGAGGAACACCAGUAGCGAAGGCGGCUUUCUGGACUGAAACUGACACUGAGGCACGAACGCGUGGGUAGCUAACUGG
This 403-nucleotide ribosomal RNA is filed under the name Verrucomicrobiota bacterium. RNAcentral's name for it is "Verrucomicrobia bacterium partial 16S ribosomal RNA". It matches the Rfam family "Bacterial small subunit ribosomal RNA", at positions 355 to 776 of the family's 1533-position model. The record is from RNAcentral. Lineage: Bacteria; Pseudomonadati; Verrucomicrobiota.